UACAGAGGGUGCGAGCGUUAAUCGGAAUUACUGGGCGUAAAGCGUGCGUAGGCGGUUACAUAAGUCGGGUGUGAAAGCCCCGGGCUCAACCUGGGAAUUGCAUUCGAGACUGCGUAGCUAGAGUGCUGAAGAGGGAAGCGGAAUUUCCGGUGUAGCGGUGAAAUGCGUAGAUAUCGGAAGGAACACCAGUGGCGAAAGCGGCUUCCUGGUCCAGCAUCGACGUUCAGGCACGAAAGCGUGGGGAGCAAACAGG
This 253-nucleotide ribosomal RNA is filed under the name uncultured bacterium. RNAcentral's name for it is "partial 16S ribosomal RNA". It matches the Rfam family "Bacterial small subunit ribosomal RNA", at positions 524 to 776 of the family's 1533-position model. The record is from RNAcentral.